AUUGAACGCUGGCGGCAUGCCUUACACAUGCAAAUCGAACGGUAACGGGCCUUCGGGUGCCGACGAGUGGCGAACGGGUGAGUAAUACAUCGGAACGUGCCCGAUCGUGGGGGAUAACGAGGCGAAAGCUUUGCUAAUACCGCAUACGAUCUACGGAUGAAAGCAGGGGACCGCAAGGCCUUGCGCGGACGGAGCGGCCGAUGGCAGAUUAGGUAGUUGGUGGGGUAAAAGCUUACCAAGCCGACGAUCUGUAGCUGGUCUGAGAGGAUGAUCAGCCACACUGGGACUGAGACACGGCCCAGACUCCUACGGGAGGCAGCAGUGGGGAAUUUUGGACAAUGGGCGCAAGCCUGAUCCAGCCAUGCCGCGUGCAGGAUGAAGGCCUUCGGGUUGUAAACUGAUUUUGUACGGAACGAAAAGCCUUCUUUUAAUACAGGAGGGUCAUGACGGUACCGUAAGAAUAAGCACCGGCUAACUACGU
This 481-nucleotide ribosomal RNA is filed under the name uncultured bacterium. Its description in RNAcentral is "partial 16S ribosomal RNA". It matches the Rfam family "Bacterial small subunit ribosomal RNA", at positions 30 to 506 of the family's 1533-position model. The record is from RNAcentral.